GCAGACGUGGCAGAGUCUGGUCGAAUGCGGCUCCCUGCUAAGGAGUUAACCGCUGCGGCGGUUCAGAAGUUCAAAUCUUCUCGUCUGCG
RNAcentral lists this transfer RNA (89 nucleotides) under Elusimicrobiales bacterium. RNAcentral describes it as "tRNA-Ser". It matches the Rfam family "tRNA". Rfam says of the family: Transfer RNA (tRNA) molecules are approximately 80 nucleotides in length. Their secondary structure includes four short double-helical elements and three loops (D, anti-codon, and T loops). The record is from RNAcentral. Lineage: Bacteria; Pseudomonadati; Elusimicrobiota; Elusimicrobia; Elusimicrobiales.